GAUGAACGCUGGCGGCGUGCUUAACACAUGCAAGUCGAACGGAAAGGCUCCUGCUUGCAGGGGUACUCGAGUGGCGAACGGGUGAGUAACACGUGGGUGAUCUGCCCUGCACUUCGGGAUAAGCCUGGGAAACUGGGUCUAAUACCGGAUAGGACGAUGGUUUGGAUGCCAUUGUGGAAAGUUUUUUCGGUGUGGGAUGAGCUCGCGGCCUAUCAGCUUGUUGGUGGGGUAUUGGCCUACCAAGGCGUCGACGGGUAGCCGGCCUGAGAGGGUGUACGGCCACAAUGGGACUGAGAGACGGACCAGACGCCUACGGGAGGCAGCAGUGGGGAAUAUUGCACAAUGGGCGCAAGCCUGAUGCAGCGACGCCGCGUGGGGGAUGACGGCCUUCGGGUUGUAAACUCCUUUCGCUGGGGACGAAGCGCAAGUGACGGUACCUGGAGAAGAAGCACCGGCUAACUACGUG
Molecule: ribosomal RNA, 466 nt
Filed under: uncultured bacterium
Lineage: Bacteria
Description: partial 16S ribosomal RNA
Rfam family: Bacterial small subunit ribosomal RNA
Source: RNAcentral